AGUGAACGCUGGCGGUAGGCCUAACACAUGCAAGUCGAACGGCAGCACAGUAAGAGCUUGCUCUUACGGGUGGCGAGUGGCGGACGGGUGAGGAAUACAUCGGAAUCUACUUUUUCGUGGGGGAUAACGUAGGGAAACUUACGCUAAUACCGCAUACGACCUACGGGUGAAAGCAGGGGAUCUUUGGACCUUGCGCGAUUGAAUGAGCCGAUGUCGGAUUAGCUAGUUGGCGGGGUAAAGGCCCACCAAGGCGACGAUCCGUAGCUGGUCUGAGAGGAUGAUCAGCCACACUGGAACUGAGACACGGUCCAGACUCCUACGGGAGGCAGCAGUGGGGAAUAUUGGACAAGGGGCGCAAGCCUGAUCCAGCCAUACCGCGUGGGUGAAGAAGGCCUUCGGGUUGUAAAGCCCUUUUGUUGGGAAAGAAAAGCAGCAGGUUAAUACCCCGCUGUUCUGACGGUACCCAAAGAAUAAGCACCGGCUAACUUCGU
Molecule: ribosomal RNA, 491 nt
Filed under: uncultured bacterium
Lineage: Bacteria
Description: partial 16S ribosomal RNA
Rfam family: Bacterial small subunit ribosomal RNA
Source: RNAcentral